This 506-nucleotide ribosomal RNA is filed under the name uncultured bacterium. Its description in RNAcentral is "bacterial SSU rRNA". It matches the Rfam family "Bacterial small subunit ribosomal RNA", at positions 107 to 607 of the family's 1533-position model. The record is from RNAcentral.
UGAGUAAUGUCUGGGAAACUGCCCGAUGGAGGGGGAUAACUACUGGAAACGGUAGCUAAUACCGCAUAACGUCGCAAGACCAAAGUGGGGGACCUUCGGGCCUCACACCAUCGGAUGUGCCCAGAUGGGAUUAGCUAGUAGGUGGGGUAAUGGCUCACCUAGGCGACGAUCCCUAGCUGGUCUGAGAGGAUGACCAGCCACACUGAAACUGAGACACGGUCCAGACUCCUACGGGAGGCAGCAGUGGGGAAUAUUGCACAAUGGGCGCAAGCCUGAUGCAGCCAUGCCGCGUGUAUGAAGAAGGCCUUCGGGUUGUAAAGUACUUUCAGCGGGGAGGAAGGCGGUGAAGUUAAUAGCUUCACCGAUUGACGUUACCCGCAGAAGAAGCACCGGCUAACUCCGUGCCAGCAGCCGCGGUAAUACGGAGGGUGCAAGCGUUAAUCGGAAUUACUGGGCGUAAAAGCGCACGCAGGCGGUCUGUCAAAUUCGGAUGUGAAAUCCCCGGG